GUGAAGAAGGCCUUCGGGUUGUAAAGCACUUUCAGUAGGGAGGAAGGCUUACCGCUAAUAACGGUGAGUACUUGACGUUACCUACAGAAGAAGCACCGGCUAAUUUCGUGCCAGCAGCCGCGGUAAUACGAAAGGUGCGAGCGUUAAUCGGAAUUACUGGGCGUAAAGCGUGCGCAGGCGGUUGUGUAAGACAGGUGUGAAAUCCCCGGGCUUAACCUGGGAAUUGCAUUUGUGACUGCACGACUAGAGUGUGUCAGAGGGGGGUGGAAUUCCACGUGUAGCAGUGAAAUGCGUAGAUAUGUGGAGGAACACCAAUGGCGAAGGCAGCCCCCUGGGAUAACACUGACGCUCAUGCACGAAAGCGUGGGGAGCAAACAGGA
This 380-nucleotide ribosomal RNA is filed under the name Symbiodinium sp. Mp. Its description in RNAcentral is "partial Bacterial small subunit ribosomal RNA". It matches the Rfam family "Bacterial small subunit ribosomal RNA", at positions 405 to 777 of the family's 1533-position model. The record is from RNAcentral. Lineage: Eukaryota; Dinophyceae; Suessiales; Symbiodiniaceae.